AAUCACGAAAAAGACCGCCACAUCCAGCAAUAACCCCCAUAUCCUUGCAAGCACCAUCACUAUUAAGCUUGAUCCAACCUUCUCGAGGCCGCUUCCAACCUAUAUAGAUGAUUUCCUUCAACUUUGGACCAAUAUGAAUAUGCUCCAAGUUACAAUCUUCAAUAUCUUGGACAAAUCUCCAAAUUAAAGAAAUUGGGUUAUUCGGCUUAAUAAAAUCAGCUUCAAAAAUAGUUUUAUUCCUCGACUCCCACAAGUACCAACACGUCGUCAUGAAAGUUGUCUUUUGAUUUAAAGUGUUCGUCCCAAUGUCUUUACG
This 316-nucleotide long non-coding RNA is filed under the name Medicago truncatula (barrel medic). RNAcentral's name for it is "long non-coding RNA (MTRU_LNC003537)". Lineage: Eukaryota; Viridiplantae; Streptophyta; Magnoliopsida; Fabales; Fabaceae. The record is from RNAcentral.